AACGAACGCUGGCGGCGCGCCUAAUACAUGCAAGUCGAGCGAGAAGGUGUAGCAAUACACUUGUAAAGCGGCGAACGGGUGAGGAAUACAUGGGUAACCUACCCUCGAGUGGGGAAUAACUAGCCGAAAGGUUAGCUAAUACCGCAUACGAUUCCAGGACUUCGGUCCUGGAAGGAAAGCACUACCGUGGGUAGUGCGCUCCUGGAUGGGCUCAUGUCCUAUCAGCUUGUUGGUGAGGUAAAGGCUCACCAAGGCUUCGACGGGUAGCUGGUCUGAGAGGACGAUCAGCCACACUGGCACUGCGACACGGGCCAGACUCCUACGGGAGGCAGCAGUAAGGAAUAUUGCGCAAUGGGCGAAAGCCUGACGCAGCGACGCCGCGUGGGGGAUGAAGGUCUUCGGAUUGUAAACCCCUUUCGGGAGGGAAGAGGGAAUGGGCGAACCCAUUCGGACGGUACCUCCAGAAGCAGCCACGGCU
RNAcentral lists this ribosomal RNA (478 nucleotides) under uncultured bacterium. Its description in RNAcentral is "bacterial SSU rRNA". It matches the Rfam family "Bacterial small subunit ribosomal RNA", at positions 29 to 498 of the family's 1533-position model. The record is from RNAcentral.